RNAcentral lists this ribosomal RNA (249 nucleotides) under uncultured bacterium. Its description in RNAcentral is "partial 16S ribosomal RNA". It matches the Rfam family "Bacterial small subunit ribosomal RNA", at positions 334 to 600 of the family's 1533-position model. The record is from RNAcentral.
UACCCCUACGGGAGGCAGCAGUGGGGGAUAUUGCACAAUGGGGGAAACCCUGAUGCAGCGACGCCGCGUGGGUGAAGAAGCGCCUCGGCGCGUAAAGCCCUGUCAGCAGGGAAGAAAAUGACGGUACCUGAAGAAGAAGCCCCGGCUAACUACGUGCCAGCAGCCGCGGUACUACGUAGGGGGCAAGCGUUAUCCGGAUUUACUGGGUGUAAAGGGGGCGCAGACGGCGAUGCAAGGCAGGAGUGAAAG